RNAcentral lists this ribosomal RNA (253 nucleotides) under uncultured bacterium. RNAcentral describes it as "partial 16S ribosomal RNA". It matches the Rfam family "Bacterial small subunit ribosomal RNA", at positions 524 to 776 of the family's 1533-position model. The record is from RNAcentral.
UACGGAGGGUGCAAGCGUUGUCCGGAUUUAUUGGGUUUAAAGGGUGCGUAGGUGGCGCGCUAAGUCAGGUGUGAAAUUUCGGAGCUUAACUCCGAAACUGCAUUUGAUACUGGCGUGCUUGAGGACUGGAGAGGAGACUGGAAUUUACGGUGUAGCAGUGAAAUGCGUAGAGAUCGUAAGGAAGACCAGUGGCGAAGGCGGGUCUCUGGACAGUUCCUGACACUGAGGCACGAAGGCCAGGGGAGCAAACGGG